UGAUGUGACAUAUCAAAACUUUUCAUCCCUGAAAAAGAGGACCUAAAUGUGUCCGGCUGAUUUUGUUUUAUCUUAAGGGAAUUGUAUUCUGCUGGCUUUUUUUUUUAAUAAUGCAUUAAACCGGCCUCUGCAGAACUUCGCCAUUCUGUGCACUGCUUCUUUUUCUCUGUUUUUCUUCUCUGAUUUGGGAAAUGAAGAAGCAGGCUUUUGUUGUGUUCAAAGCUGGACUGUUAGGUGACAAACUUCAGCAUCUGAGAGACUCCACUGGAAAGAAAUCUCAAGACGCAUUGAAGAAUUCACUGCAGGAUGUAAUGCAAGAUGGAUAAUUUACUUCCACCACAUUCUGCCUCUUGUCUAGGGAUCAGCCUCAUGCGGAUGGAGUAGAAGUGAGGCACUUAUAAUCGCUGUGCCAUAUUGACUUGUAUACAACUAUCGGUUCACUAGUCAGUACACUGUACAAAGUAAAAGGUAUCAGAGAAAAUUAUACUCCCUCCUCUUUUCUUUUUUCUUUUUAUUUUUUUUUACUUUGGUAAGUUCAAACAUCAAACAUUUGGUGAAGGAGGUAGUACUUCAACAAAUACCAUGCAAAGGGUAAAUAUAUCACGAUGAAGCACAAAGAAACAAUAGGUGCACCUAAACACUGUACUCCAUCAUUUUUCUUCUCUUAAUCUUAAAAAGUUAAAACGACGGAUCUACAAAGGUGGUAGUUCUUUUUUUGUGAGCAUUUUCGUAUUAUUUUAUUUUUUAAACAUUUUUUUCGGGUUAUAAAAGCUAAAAAGAUGAGCUAGUUCUUUUACAAUUAAGGCUCCUACCAGGAGUUAACACUUAAAGACCUAAUGAUUGUAUCACUAAGGAUUAUUGGAGUUUCAGACAGCUGAAAGCAUGCUAUUACGAUUGGAAUAGCAUCCAAGCUUUGUACGAUAUCAGACUUCUCCUGAAGCAAGCUAGUAAAGCAUCCUUCAUCUUCCAACUCUAUGAUUAAAUCCAUUGCGAGCACCAGCCUUGAGAGGAGGGAAGUCAGCUUCAUCUCUCAGUUGGUAGAGCCCUUCUGGCCUACAGAUUUAUUCACGACAUGAUGCAAUUUAAUUAGAAAAAAAAUGCAACAGCACGACUGUAUCAUGAAAUGCAAAAAGAACACGAGAUCGCAAUGUAAGAAUCACGUACUUGCUUCCUGUUUCAGCAGGCGAAGAGCUCACAGUCACAGGCGUUGAAACAGCGGCUACUGCAGGCCACUUUCUAGCAGGCAGAGGUGGGAAUUCUUC
RNAcentral lists this long non-coding RNA (1262 nucleotides) under Oryza sativa (Asian cultivated rice). RNAcentral's name for it is "long non-coding RNA (OSAT_LNC001426)". The record is from RNAcentral. Lineage: Eukaryota; Viridiplantae; Streptophyta; Magnoliopsida; Poales; Poaceae.